Pelodiscus sinensis (Chinese soft-shelled turtle) is the source of this 1863-nucleotide non-coding RNA. The record is from RefSeq and is a predicted model, not a curated record. Lineage: Eukaryota; Metazoa; Chordata; Testudines; Trionychidae.
UACUGCGAGCUGGCAAACCAAAAACUUCCACAGAGUUUUAGUAAGGGGUAACAGUCCCCUUACAUAAGCAAGGCCCUCAGGAUUUGUCCUAGAGUUAUUAGUUGCUAUAAUAACUAGUACCACAUGCCAAUGUGUUUCUUUCUGUAUGUGCGGACAAAGCUUUUUCUGUAAGGAGAUACUGCCAAAACCUUGUCUCUCGAGCCCCAAUUUAUCCUAAUUGUACACAUAUAUGGCACUGUGAUGGGAACCACAAGCUUAGAUUUUAAAGGUUAUUUUAUAAACUAGUAUAAUCAGCCACAGGGAUUCAUUGCCAUGGGGCAUACAGUCACAUACUUUGCUGGAAUUUACAAAAGCCUGGAUAAGUUUACAAUUGAUAGUAGCUACUCGCAUAACUACAGUUGUUAGGGUAAGGAUAAUCAAAUUGCAUGCUUCACAGCAUAAGCUGGUCACUACUGGCCAGAGAAGACUUUUCCCCUUGCACAUGCAACAUUACACAAUUGGCUCCAUUUGUCCAUAUUUGAGUGGGGAGGAUUGUCUGCCAGGGACAGGGCUCAAUGGACUGUGAUCUGACUCGCAGUGUCAAAAAGCAUUGAUGCCAUUGAUUUCAAACCUUGUCAUGCAGUAUUGGGAUUUACUUCUUAAAGACAAGAGUUUUUGUGACAUACCACUUUACUCUUCAGUUUGGAUUCCACACCUUCCCUGCAACAUUUUUAUUCCUUGUGUAUAUGAAAAACGUAUUAUUAAGACAUAAGUAGGGGGAUGUGCCCUCUGCUUGCUAUGCUCACCUACCCGCCUCUCUCUGGCCACUUUCGCUUCGCUGAGAGAGCCUGAUUAUUCUGAUGACGUCAUUCUGUCGUCUGGCGGGAACAUUCUUUUUAUAUAGAGAAAUAAGGAGAUAGGAUUAAAAUUAACUUACUUUGAUGCCAUAGGCACUUGACUAUGAACUCCCCUUUGGUAUUUGUGCUGAUUUGUUCUCCUGUUCUGGUCUACAAGGCUUUACAUUUAUUAGGACUAAAUCCUCUGAUUGCCUGCAACCACCACUGCUUCAUGCCAUUUUGUAGUUUGUUACUGUCCUCCUCUGUGUUAUUGUGCAUUCAAUUUGAUUUCACCUGUAAAUUUUGAUCAAGUUUGAGCUUACACCAAAGAAAUACCCAGCACAGAAAGAGACAUAAGGCACCUGUGAAAAGUGCUGGGAGAUGCUUGUUAAUUUUUAGUUGACCAAGAGGAAAAAAAGAGAAGUAUCCAGGAUGCCUGUGUGUCCUAGACUGAGCUACUUAAAAAAAGUGUAGCCCCCUGACUUUUUCUGGGAGGAUCCUUUUGUGCUGCAAUCUAGCCCUAGAGACUACAACUCCCAUCAGCCCUUGGGAAAAAGGGGGAACAGUGUCUCUUUCAGGUUAUGCAAACAGAGAGUUAGGAGUCUCCAUUUUGGGAGAGAGGAGACAGGCUGCUUUGGAGGAGCCUUAUCCAGUCCAGGAGCUGUUGUGUUGCAGCUAGAGCCUGGGACUGAAAGCCUGCGGGGCUUGGAUCUAGCAGGAUGCUUCAGAGGCUGCUGAUUGUCCCUAGAGGGGAGAGACUGGCUGUGCCUGUGGCUGAGAGGAGCCUACAUAAACUUGCAGGAGGAUUAGCCAACAUUCCAUGGAGAUGUAUGAAACAGUCCACACCUCGCUCAGAACUAUUGCUUGGAGAAGUCUGUGUGACUUGCAGCUGUUUACAUAACCAUGUCUCUUUGUACUUGGUUCAUGUCUGGAAAAGUUUCUUCACAACUAUAAGGUCUAGAAACAGGAAUUGGAUACAGUGCUCAAGUGCUCAUGUCAGCUAACUGCUAAGUUGACUGCCAAAAAAAGUAGAGUUUUCCAGUGCCUU